CAUCUCCAAGCUUGACAUUCCUUCCCUUUGCUCCCCUAGCACUCGGUACCUACUUCCAAAACAAACUUACCACACUGGAUUGCAAUCCUUGAUUAUUGUUUAUCUUUUUCCCUAAAUUCCAGGAUCUUGUCAAAGGAACUAGGUUCUAUUUAUUUUUGUAUCCACAGGGUCCCAGUACUUAAGGAAUAUCUUUCAGAAGGAUGGAUGAAUAUGAAGAAACUAAGGAGCAAAGGAAUCAAGGAUUUCUUCCAGUCCACCUGGGAAGUUAGCUGUGUAGUUAAAACUCUAGACUCCAUGCCUGUUUUCCAAACCACAGAUAUGCUUGGUUUAUGCAGUGGUGUGACGUAAGCACCAUUAUGCACGUGCACAGCAGAGAUGAUCUGAAACAUCCAUCCCCUCUCCUCAAGCCUCCUCUGGAUAGAGGAAUCAGAUCUCAAAUGGUUAGCUCCUCAAGAAUGUCUUCCCUAACUUCCCGACCAGGACAAAUCUUCCUACACCUGGUGUCAUCAGACCAUGCUUCUUCAGGGCACAUACCACAUUGUAACUUUUUGUUGUUGUUGUUGUUCUCCUAAGGAAGUGUCACUUAAACCACAUUGUAUCUUUUACACAUAUUUGCAUGCUUAGAUUUCUCUCUAAAUAACCCACCAAGCUGAAAAAUGCAUGAGGCCCAGUCAUUACCUCCCUUUUCCCACCUCUGCAAUCCCAAGCUCAGCACAGAGCCUGGAAAGGAGAAGACACUCAAGCCCCCAAGCGCUUUAAAGCAGAAACAAGCAUUCCCCACUGUGUCUUGCCAGGAUUCUGGAUUCACAGAAAGUACAUGAAAUAAGAAAUAUUUAUUGUUUGAAGCCACCAACUUUUGGGGUAGUUAUACAGCAAUAAAUACACAGGGUAUUAUUUUCCUAUUCUUUGCAAAUGUGUCAAUUUUUUCAUUGAAUGACCAAUAUGAAUUUUAUAUUUUAG
Long non-coding RNA from Callithrix jacchus (white-tufted-ear marmoset), 960 nucleotides. The record is from Ensembl. Lineage: Eukaryota; Metazoa; Chordata; Mammalia; Primates; Cebidae.